This 424-nucleotide unclassified non-coding RNA is filed under the name Hevea brasiliensis (rubber tree). Lineage: Eukaryota; Viridiplantae; Streptophyta; Magnoliopsida; Malpighiales; Euphorbiaceae. The record is from RNAcentral.
CCCCAAUAUCAACUUAUGCCUUUGGAUGAUGCUCCUUCUCUUCUAGUGCACGGCGUCCUCAUUAGCAAUCCUGCAUAUAUGAUUUGCAACAUCCUGGUGGAUAUCUAUUGCAUCUUGGAACAAAUUGAUAAGUUGUUCUUUGCCUAAUAGUUUAAGAAGCUUCUCUAUAAGUUCAUCAUCUUCAUCAUAUUCACCGUCACCAGCCUGAUUAUGAUAUGAUGAGAUCUGAUUCUGAUUAUUCCGUUGGGAAUAAUCUUCUUCUUCAUCAUUGUCAUUAUCAUUGUUAUUCUCUUCUUUUACGUCGGUAAUAGUGUUAAAAAUGUGGUAUAUAUUACAAAAUGAGGGAAAAAUCAAUCAAGAUUCAAAGGUUAGGUUAAUGCUUCUUUAGUGAGUAUGUGGAUGAAUCUAAGUUUAAGGUUUUGGG